RNAcentral lists this transfer RNA (86 nucleotides) under Lentisphaeria bacterium. Its description in RNAcentral is "tRNA-Leu". It matches the Rfam family "tRNA". From Rfam's summary of the family: Transfer RNA (tRNA) molecules are approximately 80 nucleotides in length. The record is from RNAcentral. Lineage: Bacteria; Pseudomonadati; Lentisphaerota; Lentisphaeria.
GCCGAAGUGGCGAAAUGGCAGACGCACUAGACUCAAAAUCUGGCGCCAGUGAUGGCGUGUGGGUUCAAGUCCCACCUUCGGCACCA